Molecule: ribosomal RNA, 504 nt
Filed under: uncultured bacterium
Lineage: Bacteria
Description: partial 16S ribosomal RNA
Rfam family: Bacterial small subunit ribosomal RNA
Source: RNAcentral
GAUGAACGCUAGCGGCAGGCCUAAUACAUGCAAGUCGAGGGAGAAUGUUGGAUUCGUCUGACAUGAAACCGGCGCACGGGUGCGUAACACGUAUGCAACCUACCUUUAACUGGGGUAUAGCUCAGAGAAAUCUGAAUUAAUCCCCCAUAAGACUACGACAUGGCAUCAUGAUGUAGUUAAAGCUCCGGCGGUUAAGGAUGGGCAUGCGGUACAUUAGCUAGUUGGUGAGGUAAUGGCUCACCAAGGCUACGAUGUAUAGGGGGUCUGAGAGGAUGAUCCCCCACACUGGUACUGAGACACGGACCAGACUCCUACGGGAGGCAGCAGUAGGGAAUAUUGGUCAAUGGACGCAAGUCUGAACCAGCCAUGCCGCGUGAAGGAUGAAGGCCCUAUGGGUCGUAAACUUCUUUUGUACGGAACGAAAAGGUCUCUCUUAAUACGGGGGACUCAUGACGGUACCGUAAGAAUAAGCACCGGCUAACUACGUGCCAGCAGCCGCCGUAA